Molecule: ribosomal RNA, 232 nt
Filed under: uncultured bacterium
Lineage: Bacteria
Description: partial 16S ribosomal RNA
Rfam family: Bacterial small subunit ribosomal RNA
Source: RNAcentral
UGAGGAACAUGACCCUCGGCGGGGGAUAGCCGGCCCAACGGCCGGGUAAUACCGCGUACGACCACAUGGGGACAUCCCUGAGUGGUGAAAGCAGCAAUGCGCCGAUGGAGUGCCUCGCGGCCUAUCAGCUAGUUGGUGAGGUAACGGCUCACCAAGGCAACGAUGCGUAGCCGACCUGAGAGGGUGAUCGGCCACAUUGGAACUGAGACACGGUCCAGACCUCUACGGGAGG